CCACGCCCUGUCUCAGUGGCACCCGCCAGUCUCUGAGGGCUGUUGUUCAGGAGUAGCUGAACUUGAGGUUGGCAGAGGGGUUUAAUUUAAUUGCCUAGCAAUGAAGUGCAACUGUUAAUUUAAAGUUCAGAUCACUGUUGAGUCCAGGUUUCAAUAAAAACAACCAGGAAAACAAGUUAGGACCACUCCCAGCUGCUUGAGCUUGCACACUGAAUUCAUACACUCUGGCAAAUGCACUGUGAUCUUGGGAACCUCGCCAAGGGGUCUGAUGGCUGUCGUCUGAGGAUGCCAUGUGAAGUCUUUAAUAAGCUGACAUUUCCUGUUUCUCAGCUGCCAUGUCUGAAAGCCAAACCAAAUAGUGUUUGGGCUCUUUAGCUCCCAGACUCUGUUUGUGUCUCUCUCUCGUCCUUCUCCUGACCCAGUUCUCAGCCCUGCCCGCCUUGCUUCUCCGCCCAGCUUGUGUAUAUGUGCAACACAGAGGUCCGAUGGCGGGCUGUGAUGUCGGCUUCGUUGUGAGACUAUGUCAGCAAUGAUGGCUGAGCGUAAAAAUAGAAAGAACCUGAGCCUUUGACUACUUCGUUGAUCCCUACUGGUUCCUCCUUCUUCUAGACUUCUUAUUAAUUGAGAAAAAUAAAUGCCUUUACUUA
Molecule: long non-coding RNA, 647 nt
Organism: Zalophus californianus (California sea lion)
Lineage: Eukaryota; Metazoa; Chordata; Mammalia; Carnivora; Otariidae
Exons: 5
Source: RefSeq, a predicted model, not a curated record